Molecule: long non-coding RNA, 1399 nt
Filed under: Felis catus (domestic cat)
Lineage: Eukaryota; Metazoa; Chordata; Mammalia; Carnivora; Felidae
Description: lncRNA (ENSFCAG00000049383.1)
Source: RNAcentral
GAUUGUGACAUUAGUUAUGUAAAUCUGUUUAUUUGCUAAAAUUCAUAAAACAGCAUUGCAAAAACUCAAUUAUACCGUAGGAUAAUUAAAAUAAAAUAAAAAUAAUACAUACACAUGUAUAUUAGAAAGAGUGGCAAAGUCAAUUAACAACCUGAUUUUACACCUUAAGAAACUAGAAAAAGAAGAGCAAACUGAGUCCACAGCUAGCAGUAGAAAGAGAACAAUGGCGUGGAGGCAAAAACAAGAGAAUAGAAAAACGACAUGAAGAAAAUCAACAACACCAAAAGCUGGUUCUUUAAAAAAGAUCAACAAAAUUGACAAAUCUUUACCUAGGUUGACUGAAAUAUAAAGUGAGAAAAACCACAUUACCAAAAUCAGGAAAGAAAGUAGAACAUCACUACAGAUUUUACAGAAAUAAAAAGGAUUAUAAAAGAAUAUUAUGAACAAUUCCCUUCAGGAGAAGAACCGGAUGGCAGGGGAACAGUGAUGUUUUACUACUUGAAUUUUAUCCUGUGUGCACGAAUAAUAUAUUUAACCAAUAACAACAAACUUCUGAGCACAAGAACAGAUCAAGAAGAAAAUAAUAAUUAAAAUAUAAAUUAUUCUUACUGUAUUCUCUAAAGUUUUUGCAAUACGCUUGUGUCACUUUCAUGAUUAAAAUAAAAAUAAUUUUUAAAUGUUAGUAAUGUCCAUGUGCAUACAAUUUUGGCUGUCUUUCUUUAACUUACUAUCAUAUCAAGUCUUACCUCUUCUCAGACUAGAGAAAUUGAGUGAAAACAGCAUCUUCUCCUUGGCUGGUGAGCGGGAACUGGAAACCCUAAGCUUUGCAUUCCCAGGUCAACACACCUGCUAGGAAUAGAAAACCCUUUUUAGCCUCAGGAAUACACUUUUUUCUUUCCAAAAGUAAACUGCAACAUAUCAACAGUUAACAAGAAUGAAGGUAAACUUUUACAGCUUAUUUAUUCCACUGAAGUGAACACUAGCUACCCACUUAGCCAAGUACCCUAGAUUGCUUCAGGCAAGUGAACCCUUGAGCAGGAGAUAUAAUUGGGAAUUACCUCCUUUAGCAUUUAAUCUUUUUCACCCAGUUAUUUCUGUAUAGCUUUCCUUCUCUGAAUACUCUUUCAUCAUUUACUCUUUGGGGAAUCUGAGCAUUGCAUUGCCUUUUGAGAUCUGGUUGUAAGGCAUUUGAAGUCCUUUGGUAAGAGCAGGGUUUCCCACUGUGAGAAAGGUAUUUUACUAGCAACAGCUGUUACCUCGGGGUGAGGGGUAAGGGGUGGAUUGUGCAGGACUUUUACUUCCUAAAUGAAAUAUUUCUGAAAUGUUUGAAAUGUUUACAAUGAGUAUCAAUUGUUUUUGUAAUCAGAAUAUAAUGUGAACUCAUAUUUCUUUAGCAUGU